RNAcentral lists this ribosomal RNA (460 nucleotides) under uncultured bacterium. RNAcentral describes it as "partial 16S ribosomal RNA". It matches the Rfam family "Bacterial small subunit ribosomal RNA", at positions 338 to 795 of the family's 1533-position model. The record is from RNAcentral.
CCUACGGGACGCAGCAGUGAGGAAUAUUGGUCAAUGGACGAGAGUCUGAACCAGCCAAGUAGCGUGAAGGAUGACUGCCCUAUGGGUUGUAAACUUCUUUUAUAUGGGAAUAAAAUGUUCCACGUGUGGGAUUUUGUAUGUACCAUAUGAAUAAGGAUCGGCUAACUCCGUGCCAGCAGCCGCGGUAAUACGGAGGAUCCGAGCGUUAUCCGGAUUUAUUGGGUUUAAAGGGCGCGUAGGUGGGUUGGUAAGUAAGUUGUGAAAGUUUGCGGCUCAACCGUAAAAUUGCAGUUGAUACUGGCAGUCUUGAGUACAGUAGGGGUGGGCGGAAUUCGUGGUGUAGCGGUGAAAUGCUUAGAUAUCACGAAGAACUCCGAUUGCGAAGGCAGUUCACUGGACUGCAACUGACACUGAGGCUCGAAAGUGUGGGUAUCAAACAGGAUUAGAUACCCCAGUAGUC